RNAcentral lists this ribosomal RNA (556 nucleotides) under Bryocaulon divergens. Its description in RNAcentral is "eukaryotic LSU rRNA". It matches the Rfam family "Eukaryotic large subunit ribosomal RNA", at positions 71 to 641 of the family's 3401-position model. Lineage: Eukaryota; Fungi; Ascomycota; Lecanoromycetes; Lecanorales; Parmeliaceae. The record is from RNAcentral.
GGGAUUGCCUCAGUAACGGCGAGUGAAGCGGCAAUAGCUCAAAUUUGAAAUCUGGCCCUUUUCGGGUCCGAGUUGUAAUUUGUAGAGAGUGUUUCGGGUGAGACCACGGUCUAAGUCCAUUGGAACAUGGCGUCAUAGAGGGUGAGAAUCCCGUAUGUGACUGUGGAUCGAGCCCAGGUGAAGCCUCUUCGACGAGUCGAGUUGUUUGGGAAUGCAGCUCAAAAUGGGUGGUAAAUUUCAUCUAAAGCUAAAUACUGGCUGGAGACCGAUAGCGCACAAGUAGAGUGAUCGAAAGAUGAAAAGCACUUUGGAAAGAGAGUCAAACAGUACGUGAAAUUGUUGAAAGGGAAGCGCUUGCAACCAGACCUGUCCGUAGGUGAUCAGCCGCUGUUCUCAGUGGUGCACUCGCUCUGCGAUCAGGCCAGCAUCGGUUCGGGCGGCCGGAUAAAGGCCUUGGGAAUGUAGCUUCCUCCGGGGAGUCUUAUAGCCCUCGGUGCAAUGCGGCCAGCCUGGACCGAGGACCGCGCUUCGGCUAGGAUGCUGGCGUAAUGGUUGU